This 1349-nucleotide ribosomal RNA is filed under the name uncultured bacterium. RNAcentral's name for it is "bacterial SSU rRNA". It matches the Rfam family "Bacterial small subunit ribosomal RNA", at positions 28 to 1387 of the family's 1533-position model. The record is from RNAcentral.
GAUGAACUCUGGCGGCGUGCCUAAUACAUGCAAGUCGAACGCACCGCUUCGGUGGUGAGUGGCGAACGGGUGAGUAAUACAUAAGUAACCUGGCCUUUCGAGGGGGAUAACUAUUGGAAACGAUAGCUAAGACCGCAUAGGCAUAAUUCUCGGAUGAGAGUUAUGUUAAAUAUCCCAAGGGAUAGCGAGAGGAUGGACUUAUGGCGCAUUAUCUAGUUGGUGAGGGUAACGGCCCACCAAGGCGACGAUGCGUAGCCGACCUGAGAGGGUGGACGGCCACACUGGGACUGAGACACGGCCCAGACUCCUACGGGAGGCAGCAGUAGGGAAUUUUCGGCAAUGGGCGAAAGCCUGACCGAGCAACGCCGCGUGAGGGAGGAAGUAUUUCGGUAUGUAAACCUCUGUUAUAAAGGAAGAACGGCGCAUGUAGGGAAUGACAUGCGAGUGACGGUACUUUAUGAGAAAGCCACGGCUAACUACGUGCCAGCAGCCGCGGUAAUACGUAGGUGGCGAGCGUUAUCCGGAAUCAUUGGGCGUAAAGAGGGAGCAGGCGGCAACUAGGGUCUGCGGUAAAAGACCGAAGCUAAACUUCGGUAAGCCGUGGAAACCGAGGAGCUAGAGUGCAGUAGAGGAUCGUGGAAUUCCAUGUGUAGCGGUGAAAUGCGUAGAUAUAUGGAGGAACACCAGUGGCGAAGGCGACGAUCUGGGCUGCAACUGACGCUCAGUCCCGAAAGCGUGGGGAGCAAAUAGGAUUAGAUACCCUAGUAGUCCACACCGUAAACGAUGAGAACUAAGUGUUGGAGAGAUUCAGUGCUGCAGUUAACGCAAUAAGUUCUCCGCCUGGGGAGUAUGCACGCAAGUGUGAAACUCAAAGGAAUUGACGGGGGCCCGCACAAGCGGUGGAGUAUGUGGUUUAAUUCGAAGCAACGCGAAGAACCUUACCAGGCCUUGACAUGGAUAUAAAUGUUCUAGAGAUAGAAAGAUAGCUAUAUAUCACACAGGUGGUGCAUGGUUGUCGUCAGCUCGUGUCGUGAGAUGUUGGGUUAAGUCCCGCAACGAGCGCAACCCUUGUCUUCUGUUACCAGCAUUAAGUUGGGGACUCAGGAGAGACUGCCGGUGACAAACCGGAGGAAGGUGGGGAUGACGUCAAAUCAUCAUGCCCCUUAUGGCCUGGGCUACACACGUACUACAAUGGCGCCUACAAAGAGCAGCGACACCGCGAGGUGGAGCGAAUCUCAUAAAGGGCGUCUCAGUUCGGAUUGAAGUCUGCAACUCGACUUCAUGAAGUCGGAAUCGCUAGUAAUCGCAGAUCAGCAUGCUGCGGUGAAUACGUUCUCGGGCCUUGCACA